AUUGAACGCUGGCGGCAUGCUUUACACAUGCAAGUCGAACGGCCUCGCGGGCUUCGGGCUGGCUGCUAGUGGCGAACGGGUGCGUAAUACACCGGAACCAGCCCCGUAGUGGGGGAUAGCUCGGCGAAAGCCGGCUUAAUACCGCAUACCACCUGAGGGUGAAAGCGGGGGGUCUUCGGACCUCGCGCCUUCGCAGCGGCCGAUGCCAGAUUAGCUAGUUGGUGGGGUAAAGGCCUACCAAGGCGACGAUCUGUAGCUGGUCUGAGAGGACAACCAGCCACACUGGGAGUGAGACAAGGCCCAGACUCCUACGGGAGGGAACAGUGAGGAAUUUUGGACAAUGGGCGAAGGCCUGAUCCAGGAAUGCCGCGUGUGGGAUGAAGGCCUUCGGGUGGUAAAGCACUUUUGGCGGGAACGAAAAGGACUGUGCCAAUACCACGGUUCGAUGACGGUACCCGGAGAAUAAGCACCGGCUAACUACGUG
Molecule: ribosomal RNA, 484 nt
Filed under: uncultured bacterium
Lineage: Bacteria
Description: partial 16S ribosomal RNA
Rfam family: Bacterial small subunit ribosomal RNA
Source: RNAcentral